RNAcentral lists this unclassified non-coding RNA (245 nucleotides) under plant metagenome. RNAcentral describes it as "partial contains small subunit ribosomal RNA, internal transcribed spacer 1, and 5.8S ribosomal RNA". The record is from RNAcentral.
UUUCCGUAGGUGAACCAGCGGAGGGAUCAUUACCGAGUUUACAACUAACAACCCCCAUGUGACCGCUGCCAAACUCUUGCCUCCGCGGGGUCACGCCCCCGGUGCGUCGCACCCCCGGAACCAGGCGCCCGCCGCAGGGACCGACCAAACUCUGGCUGUAGUCCCCCCGCGGACGUUCUUUCUUACAGUACUGAGCAAAAAUUCAAGAUGACUAAAAACUUUCAACAACGGAUCUCUUGGUUCUG